GUUGAAAAACCGCUUGCCGUAUGAUCACCGAAGUUAAACAACGUCGAGUCGGGUCAGUACCUAGACGGGUGACCGCUUGGGAAUACCAGGUGCUGUAAG
Acanthosepion pharaonis is the source of this 99-nucleotide non-coding RNA. Lineage: Eukaryota; Metazoa; Mollusca; Cephalopoda; Sepiida; Sepiidae. The record is from the annotation of a GenBank genome assembly.